Molecule: unclassified non-coding RNA, 235 nt
Filed under: plant metagenome
Description: partial contains small subunit ribosomal RNA and internal transcribed spacer 1
Rfam family: Eukaryotic small subunit ribosomal RNA (bases 1-46)
Source: RNAcentral
AAGUCGUAACAAGGUUUCCGUAGGUGAACCUGCGGAAGGAUCAUUAUCGAGUUAGGGUCUUCCAGGCCCGACCUCCAACCCUUUGUCUAUUAUACCACUUGUUGCUUCGGCGAGCCUGUUUCUUGAAAUAUAGAGACUGCUGGGGGCUUCUGUCCCUAGUUCGUGCUCGUCGAUAGCCAUCAUUAAACUCAUGUUUAACCGUGUCGUCUAAGUAAAACACUUAAUUUAAUUAAAA